RNAcentral lists this long non-coding RNA (231 nucleotides) under Oryza brachyantha (malo sina). RNAcentral's name for it is "long non-coding RNA (OBRA_LNC001549)". The record is from RNAcentral. Lineage: Eukaryota; Viridiplantae; Streptophyta; Magnoliopsida; Poales; Poaceae.
UAUUCCGGACUACGCCGAGCUAUCCGAAUAAAAUAAAAACGCCAGAACGAGAAAACGCCGGAACGACCAGCCUGCGCCCUGCGCCGUCCGCCGUCGCUCCUCGCCGUCCGCCGGCCGCGCCCUGCGUCGCCCGCUUUCUUCCCUCCUCGUCGCCCGGCGUUCCCGCACGGCUAGCCGAUCUCCUCUCCGCGCCGAUCUCCUCCCCCCAUCCCUCGCUCUGCGCCGUCCGCC